AUUGAACGCUGGCGGCAGGCCUAACACAUGCAAGUCGAACGGUAACAGGAAGAAGCUUGCUUCUUUGCUGACGGGUGGCGGACGGGUGAGUAAUGUCUGGGAAACUGCCUGAUGGAGGGGGAUAACUACUGGAAACGGUAGCUAAUACCGCAUAACGUCGCAAGACCAAAGAGGGGGACCUUCGGGCCUCUUGCCAUCGGAUGUGCCCAGAUGGGAUUAGCUAGUAGGUGGGGUAACGGCUCACCUAGGCGACGAUCCCUAGCUGGUCUGAGAGGAUGACCAGCCACACUGGAACUGAGACACGGUCCAGACUCCUACGGGAGGCAGCAGUGGGGAAUAUUGCACAAUGGGCGCAAGCCUGAUGCAGCCAUGCCGCGUGUAUGAAGAAGGCCUUCGGGUUGUAAAGUACUUUCAGCGGGGAGGAAGGGAGUAAAGUUAAUACCUUUACUCAUUGACGUUACCCGCAGAAGAAGCACCGGCUAACUCCGUG
This 490-nucleotide ribosomal RNA is filed under the name uncultured bacterium. RNAcentral's name for it is "partial 16S ribosomal RNA". It matches the Rfam family "Bacterial small subunit ribosomal RNA", at positions 30 to 507 of the family's 1533-position model. The record is from RNAcentral.